Molecule: ribosomal RNA, 496 nt
Filed under: uncultured bacterium
Lineage: Bacteria
Description: partial 16S ribosomal RNA
Rfam family: Bacterial small subunit ribosomal RNA
Source: RNAcentral
AUGAACGCUGGCGGCGUGCCUAAUACAUGCAAGUCGAGCGAACAGACGAGGAGCUUGCUCCUCUGACGUUAGCGGCGGACGGGUGAGUAACACGUGGAUAACCUACCUAUAAGACUGGGAUAACUUCGGGAAACCGGAGCUAAUACCGGAUAAUAUAUUGAACCGCAUGGUUCAAUAGUGAAAGACGGUUUUGCUGUCAAUUAUAGAUGGAUCCGCGCCGCAUUAGCUAGUUGGUAAGGUAACGGCUUACCAAGGCAACGAUGCGUAGCCGACCUGAGAGGGUGAUCGGCCACACUGGAACUGAGACACGGUCCAGACUCCUACGGGAGGCAGCAGUAGGGAAUCUUCCGCAAUGGGCGAAAGCCUGACGGAGCAACGCCGCGUGAGUGAUGAAGGUCUUCGGAUCGUAAAACUCUGUUAUUAGGGAAGAACAAAUGUGUAAGUAACUAUGCACGUCUUGACGGUACCUAAUCAGAAAGCCACGGCUAACUACGUG